This 460-nucleotide ribosomal RNA is filed under the name uncultured bacterium. RNAcentral describes it as "partial 16S ribosomal RNA". It matches the Rfam family "Bacterial small subunit ribosomal RNA", at positions 338 to 795 of the family's 1533-position model. The record is from RNAcentral.
CCUACGGGAGGCAGCAGUGAGGAAUAUUGGUCAAUGGACGAGAGUCUGAACCAGCCAAGUAGCGUGAAGGAUGACUGCCCUAUGGGUUGUAAACUUCUUUUAUAUGGGAAUAAAAUGUUCCACGUGUGGGAUUUUGUAUGUACCAUAUGAAUAAGGAUCGGCUAACUCCGUGCCAGCAGCCGCGGUAAUACGGAGGAUCCGAGCGUUAUCCGGAUUUAUUGGGUUUAAAGGGAGCGUAGGUGGAUUGUUAAGUCAGUUGUGAAAGUUUGCGGCUCAACCGUAAAAUUGCAGUUGAAACUGGCAGUCUUGAGUACAGUAGAGGUGGGCGGAAUUCGUGGUGUAGCGGUGAAAUGCUUAGAUAUCACGAAGAACUCCGAUUGCGAAGGCAGUUCACUGGACUGCAACUGACACUGAGGCUCGAAAGUGUGGGUAUCAAACAGGAUUAGAAACCCGAGUAGUC